Molecule: ribosomal RNA, 253 nt
Filed under: uncultured bacterium
Lineage: Bacteria
Description: partial 16S ribosomal RNA
Rfam family: Bacterial small subunit ribosomal RNA
Source: RNAcentral
UACGGAGGGUGCGAGCGUUAUCCGGAUUCACUGGGUUUAAAGGGCGCGUAGGCGGCUUUAUAAGUCGGGGGUGAAAGCCUGUGGCUCAACCACAGAAUUGCCUUCGAUACUGUAGAGCUUGAGACCGGAAGAGGUAAGUGGAACUGCGAGUGUAGAGGUGAAAUUCGUAGAUAUUCGCAAGAACACCAGUGGCGAAGGCGGCUUACUGGUCCGGUUCUGACGCUGAGGCGCGAAAGCGUGGGGAGCAAACAGG